GGUGGCUCAGUGGUAGAGUGCUUGCUUUGUAUGCAUGAGGUUCUGGGUUUGAUUCCUCAGCACCA
RNAcentral lists this transfer RNA (65 nucleotides) under Dipodomys ordii (Ord's kangaroo rat). It matches the Rfam family "tRNA". Rfam says of the family: Transfer RNA (tRNA) molecules are approximately 80 nucleotides in length. Their secondary structure includes four short double-helical elements and three loops (D, anti-codon, and T loops). Further hydrogen bonds mediate the characteristic L-shaped molecular structure. tRNAs have two regions of fundamental functional importance: the anti-codon, which is responsible for specific mRNA codon recognition, and the 3' end, to which the tRNAs corresponding amino acid is attached (by aminoacyl-tRNA synthetases). tRNAs cope with the degeneracy of the genetic code in two manners: having more than one tRNA (with a specific anti-codon) for a particular amino acid; and 'wobble' base-pairing, i.e. permitting non-standard base-pairing at the 3rd anti-codon position. The record is from Rfam by way of RNAcentral. Lineage: Eukaryota; Metazoa; Chordata; Mammalia; Rodentia; Heteromyidae.